GGGCGAUUAGCUCAGCGGUAGAGCACCUCGUUUACACCGAGGGGGUCGGAGGUUCGAACCCUUCAUCGCCCACCA
This 75-nucleotide transfer RNA is filed under the name Alphaproteobacteria bacterium. Its description in RNAcentral is "tRNA-Val". It matches the Rfam family "tRNA". Rfam says of the family: Transfer RNA (tRNA) molecules are approximately 80 nucleotides in length. The record is from RNAcentral. Lineage: Bacteria; Pseudomonadati; Pseudomonadota; Alphaproteobacteria.